Long non-coding RNA from Corticium candelabrum, 561 nucleotides. RefSeq lists it as uncharacterized. Lineage: Eukaryota; Metazoa; Porifera; Homoscleromorpha; Homosclerophorida; Plakinidae. The transcript is spliced from 3 exons. The record is from RefSeq and is a predicted model, not a curated record.
GUUUGAAAGCGUUGGAGUGUCAUACGGGACAGGGAGCGACUGUAUAGGUCUGAAACGACGUUCUAGAUAGACACUUACAACGACAAGUAUUGCGGCUGUGUAAUUUUCCGAAGUUUUAGCAAGUCUCAUCAAACAAUCAUGGAGUUUCCAAGAUGCGAAUGGUGCGGUAUAAAACAAGCUACACUUCAAUUUUAUCCAUGCCACUGCUACACCUGUUUCGACUGCGUGAACGAGCGAGCGAAAGAAAGAUCAAAUCUAAGCCGAUGUCCCGUAUGUAACCAAAUAGGUUCUUGUGAUGGAUCAAAUCCUCACACUCCUCAAAGUUACAAAUGGUGGCUACUCACAGUCUACUCAUAAUCUUAUACUGCUUGACAAACCUGCAGUGAAGUGAUUGUCAUAUUUUGGAGGCACGCAAGUGAAUACUUAGAGCGUGUGUGGUACUUGUUAGUCGUUUGUUCGCUCGUUGGAUAUCAGAAAGCCACAGUAUUACGUCAUGCAGUAAAUUGUUUGCACUAUUGGAGUUUUGCCGUAGACCUCCAAAAGCUGCUUUAGAAUCUAACU